Molecule: transfer RNA, 646 nt
Filed under: uncultured Prochlorococcus sp.
Lineage: Bacteria; Bacillati; Cyanobacteriota; Cyanophyceae; Synechococcales; Prochlorococcaceae
Description: partial 16S-23S ribosomal RNA intergenic spacer
Rfam family: tRNA (bases 247-319)
Source: RNAcentral
UUUGAUGCCUGAGUAAUAAAUUCUUAGGUCAAGAUCCUGUCACCUUAGGUCGAUCGGUACCUCAGUUUUUUUCAAUGAAUUGCUGAAUAAAUUCAGUUAUCUAAUUGGAAACAAAUUUAGUUCCUAAACUUUGUCUAGGUCACACCCCGCAAGGGUUGCUCCUGGGCCAUUAGCUCAGGUGGUUAGAGCGCACCCCUGAUAAGGGUGAGGUCCCUGGUUCAAGUCCAGGAUGGCCCAUUCGGUUCUGGGGGUUUAGCUCAGUUGGUAGAGCGCCUGCUUUGCAAGCAGGAUGUCAGCGGUUCGAGUCCGCUAACCUCCACUGGCCGACUUCCUGAAGGUCACAAAGUGAGUACCUUUGUUGAAUGUGUGAUUUAGAUUUUUAGCUGAAGUUGAACCUAGCUUCUUCUCAAUUAGCCCCAGAAAAGGGCUUCUUUUGAAAAGACGCUGGGCUCACUGUGAUUUAUUUUUUAAACCACAGAAAAGUUCAGCAGAACCUUGACAACUGCAUAGAUGAGUCUGGAAAGAAUAAAGCAUCUCAUAGAUGCAUUUUCAGUUUAGGAAUUUUAGAAAAACUAAUUGAUUAGUUUUUCAGCUUAAUUCCAUUGAAGAUGUAUAUUCUUGAGUCAAGAGCCGAGAUUCUGCAAUG